This 497-nucleotide ribosomal RNA is filed under the name uncultured bacterium. RNAcentral describes it as "partial 16S ribosomal RNA". It matches the Rfam family "Bacterial small subunit ribosomal RNA", at positions 28 to 507 of the family's 1533-position model. The record is from RNAcentral.
GAUGAACGCUGGCGGCGUGCCUAAUACAUGCCAGUCGAGCGAACAGAUAAGGAGCUUGCUCCUUUGACGUUAGCGGCGGACGGGUGAGUAACACGUGGGUAACCUACCUAUAAGACUGGGAUAACUUCGGGAAACCGGAGCUAAUACCGGAUAAUAUUUCGAACCGCAUGGUUCGAUAGUGAAAGAUGGCUUUGCUAUCACUUAUAGAUGGACCCGCGCCGUAUUAGCUAGUUGGUAAGGUAACGGCUUACCAAGGCGACGAUACGUAGCCGACCUGAGAGGGUGAUCGGCCACACUGGAACUGAGACACGGUCCAGACUCCUACGGGAGGCAGCAGUAGGGAAUCUUCCGCAAUGGGCGAAAGCCUGACGGAGCAACGCCGCGUGAGUGAUGAAGGUCUUCGGAUCGUAAAACUCUGUUAUUAGGGAAGAACAUACGUGUAAGUAACUGUGCACGUCUUGACGGUACCUAAUCAGAAAGCCACGGCUAACUACGUG